AGAUUCGGAACACUUUUGUUGUUGUCCUGUGUUUUUGUUUUGUUUUUAUUUUUUUUUUUUUUUUGCGAGAAAUUGACAUUGUUGUCGU
RNAcentral lists this non-coding RNA (88 nucleotides) under Ctenophora environmental sample. The record is from RNAcentral. Lineage: Eukaryota; Metazoa; Ctenophora.